AUGAUCAAGCUACAAAGGGCAUAUGGUGAAUGCCUUGGCACCAGUAGCCGAUGAAGGACGCGAUAAGCUGCGAUAAGCUUCGGGUAGGCGCAAAUAGCCUGUGAUCCGGAGAUUUCCGAAUGGGGAAACCUGCAUACCUAACGGUAUGUACCGUAAAUUGAAUACAUAGAUUUACGGGGGUAUACCCGGGGAACUGAAACAUCUAAGUACCCGGAGGAAGAGAAAGAAAAAUCGAUUUUCUNNNNNNNNNNNNNNNNNNNNNNNNNNNNNNNNNAUCGAAGAGAGCUGGAACGCUCUACCACAGAAGGUAAUAGUCCUGUAGGUAAAAAAUUAUGUCUUUUAGGUCUAAUCCAGAGUACCACGAGACACGUGAAACCUUGUGGGAAGCAGGGAGGACCACCUCCCAAGGCUAAAUACUAACUGGUGACCGAUAGUGAAGCAGUACCGUGAGGGAAAGGUGAAAAGAACCCCGGGAGGGGAGUGAAAUAGAACCUGAAACCGUAUGCUUACAAACAGUGGGAGCACGUUAAUGUGUGACCGCGUGCUUUUUGUAGAACGAGCCAGCGAGUUACGGUAUGUAGCAAGGUUAAGCACUUAAGGUGCGUAGCCGAAGGGAAACCGAGUCUGAAUAGGGCGACUAGUUGCAUGCCGUAGACCCGAAACCGAGUGACCUAUCCAUGGGCAGGUUGAAGCGGAAGUAAAAUUCCGUGGAGGACCGAACCACGUUGGUGUUGAAAAACCAUGGGAUGACCUGUGGAUAGCGGAGAAAUUCCAAUCGAACUCGGAGAUAGCUGGUUCUCCUCGAAAUAGCUUUAGGGCUAGCGUCUGGUUAUUGAGUAAUGGAGGUAGAGCACUGAAUGGGCUAGGGGCUGACAACAGUUACUGAACCCUAUCAAACUCCGAAUGCCAUAUACUUUUAUCCAGGCAGUCAGACUGCGAGUGAUAAGAUCCGUAGUCGAGAGGGAAACAACCCAGACCAUCAGCUAAGGUCCCAAAGUGUAAGUUAAGUGGAAAAGGAUGUGGGAUUUCUAAGACAACUAGGAUGUUGGCUUAGAAGCAGCCACUCAUUUAAAGAGUGCGUAAUAGCUCACUAGUCAAGAGAUCCUGCGCCGAAGAUGUCCGGGGCUCAAACUUACCACCGAAGCUAUGGAUUCAAUAGAAUGGUAGAGGAGCUUCCUGUAUGGGUAGAAGUCGUAUCGUAAGAAGCGGUGGACUGUACAGGAGUGAGUAUGCUGGCAUGAGUAGCGAGAAAUAAGUGAGAAUCUUAUUGGUCGAAAACCUAAGGUUUCCUGAGGAAGGUUCGUCCGCUCAGGGUUAGUCGGGACCUAAGCCCAGGCCGAAAGGCGUAGGUGAUGGACAAUCGGUUGAUAUUCCGAUACCGCCAACUUUCGUUUGACAAAUGGGGUGACACAGAAGGAUAAGGUAUGCACACUAUUGGAUGUGUGUCUAAGCACUUAGGCGUGCUUGAUUGGCAAAUCCGUCAAGCUAAGCUGAGGUGUUAUGGGGAGCCUAUUUUGGCGAAGUGCCUGAUUCCACACUGUCAAGAAAAGCCUCUAUGGAGAAUGUUGGUGCCCGUACCGCAAACCGACACAGGUAGGUGAGGAGAGAAUCCUAAGACCAUCGGAAGAAUUGCUGUUAAGGAACUAGGCAAAUUGACCCCGUAACUUCGGGAGAAGGGGUGCCAUGGAAACAUGGCCGCAGUGAAUAGGCCCAAGCAACUGUUUAGCAAAAACACAGGUCUCUGCUAAAGCGAAAGCUGAUGUAUAGGGGCUGACGCCUGCCCGGUGCUGGAAGGUUAAANNNNNNNGUUAGCGUAAGCGAAGCGGUGAACUUAAGCCCCAGUGAACGGCGGCCGUAACUAUAACGGUCCUAAGGUAGCGAAAUUCCUUGUCGGGUAAGUUCCGACCCGCACGAAUGGCGUAAUGACUUGGGCACUGUCUCAACAGCAAAUCCGGCGAAAUUGUAGUGCAAGUGAAGAUGCUUGCUACCCGCGAUAGGACGGAAAGACCCCGUAGAGCUUUACUGUAGCUUAACAUUGAAUUUCGGUAUUGUCUGUACAGGAUAGGUGGGAGACUUAGAAGCAGGAGCGUCAGUUUCUGUGGAGUCAUCCUUGGGAUACCACCCUGAUAGUACUGAAAUUCUAACCGGGGACCAUGAAUCUGGUCACGGGACAUUGUUAGGUGGGCAGUUUGACUGGGGCGGUCGCCUCCUAAAAAGUAACGGAGGCGCCCAAAGGUUCCCUCAGCGCGGUCGGAAAUCGCGCGUAGAGUGUAAAGGCAUAAGGGAGCCUGACUGCGACACAUACAGGUGGAGCAGGGACGAAAGUCGGGCUUAGUGAUCCGGUGGUUCCUCGUGGGAGGGCCAUCGCUCAACGGAUAAAAGCUACCUCGGGGAUAACAGGCUGAUCUCCCCCAAGAGUCCACAUCGACGGGGAGGUUUGGCACCUCGAUGUCGGCUCGUCGCAUCCUGGGGCUGGAGUAGGUCCCAAGGGUUGGGCUGUUCGCCCAUUAAAGCGGCACGCGAGCUGGGUUCAGAACGUCGUGAGACAGUUCGGUCCCUAUCCGUCGCGGGCGUAGGAAAUUUGAAGGGAGCUGUCCUUAGUACGAGAGGACCGGGAUGGACUGACCUCUGGUGCACCAGUUGUCACGCCAGUGGCACAGCUGGGUAGCUAAGUCGGGAAGGGAUAAACGCUGAAAGCAUCUAAGCGUGAAGCCCACCCUAAGAUGAGAUUUCCCAUGACGUAAGUCAAUAAGAUCCCUUGAAGAACACAAGGUUGAUAGGUCAGAGGUGUAAGUGCAGCAAUGUAUUUAGCUGACUGAUACUAAUAGAUCGAAGGCUUGAUCAAAUU
Molecule: ribosomal RNA, 2848 nt
Filed under: Clostridium tetani
Lineage: Bacteria; Bacillati; Bacillota; Clostridia; Eubacteriales; Clostridiaceae
Description: 23S ribosomal RNA
Rfam family: Bacterial large subunit ribosomal RNA
Source: RNAcentral